CCUACGGGGGGCAGCAGUGAGGAAUAUUGGUCAAUGGACGCAAGUCUGAACCAGCCAAGUAGCGUGCAGGAUGACGGCCCUCCGGGUUGUAAACUUCUUUUAUAUGGGAAUAAAAUGUUCCACGUGUGGGAUUUUGUAUGUACCAUAUGAAUAAGGAUCGGCUAACUCCGUGCCAGCAGCCGCGGUAAUACGGAGGAUCCGGGCGUUAUCCGGAUUUAUUGGGUUUAAAGGGAGCGUAGGUGGAUUGUUAAGUCCGUUGUGAAAGUUUGCGGCUCAACCGUAAAAUUGCAGUUGAAACUGGCAGUCUGGAGUACAGUAGAGGUGGGCGGAAUUCGUGGUGUAGCGGUGAAAUGCUUAGAUAUCACGAAGAACUCCGAUUGCGAAGGCAGUUCACUGGACUGCAACUGACACUGAGGCUCGAAAGUGUGGGUAUCAAACAGGAUUAGAUACCCCUGUAGUC
RNAcentral lists this ribosomal RNA (460 nucleotides) under uncultured bacterium. Its description in RNAcentral is "partial 16S ribosomal RNA". It matches the Rfam family "Bacterial small subunit ribosomal RNA", at positions 338 to 795 of the family's 1533-position model. The record is from RNAcentral.